Ruditapes philippinarum (Manila clam) is the source of this 386-nucleotide long non-coding RNA. RefSeq lists it as uncharacterized. The transcript is spliced from 2 exons. Lineage: Eukaryota; Metazoa; Mollusca; Bivalvia; Venerida; Veneridae. The record is from RefSeq and is a predicted model, not a curated record.
UGGGUCUCCUCCUCCCAGCCUCUACUGCAGAUUGUGAGUGCCUGAAGAGAGUUAAGACUGAAAACAGGAAUUGUCUCUCUGUUAAAGUUCUAAACUAUCUUCUUGCCGUCACCCUUCAAGGACCCCCAUUAGAAUCUUUCAACUUUAAGAAGGCAGUCAAGGCAUGGAAGGACAACAAACCUAGAAGACAGACCCACUUUUAAUGAUGUUAAUUAGAAAAAAAACUGAAAUAUACUCAUUUAAAUGGGACACACACAUACAUAUAAAUGUUGAUCACAUGUUGUGAACUUGUGUUUAUAUAUAAUUGUUUAUUUAUUUGAAUUGUUGGAAAUGGAAAAAGUAAAUAAUAAAAAUUAAGAAAAUGUUUAUCAAGUGAAAAGCUUUCA